Cuculus canorus (common cuckoo) is the source of this 6319-nucleotide RNA transcript. It is a transcript of the gene named X-C motif chemokine receptor 1, with no coding region annotated. Lineage: Eukaryota; Metazoa; Chordata; Aves; Cuculiformes; Cuculidae. The transcript has 4 exons. The record is from RefSeq and is a predicted model, not a curated record.
GUCCCUGUGCAGGAAAAAACAAGGGGUAAAUGGCUGGCUGUCCUGGCGCAGGACUCCCAAGGCAGCUCGUGCCUCCCUCUGUGUUGCAUCAAGCUCAUGCACCAGCCUCCAGUCAGAGAGGGACUGCAAAAUGCAGUCUCAGUCUCACUGGCUGGACAAGAGCAGCUGUACCACCCAAAAGGCUGCACCCACACCCUCCCAAUCGUUCCUAUGCAUGAUUAAGUAUGAGCAAUGGGAUGCCCUCAGUUUCCCUGAGACUGCCUUGGUGCCAAGGAGUUAGCCCCUCAUUGUCAUAGCAACAGCAAAAAAAUUGUGCUCUGAAUAGUCAUAAUCAUGCAAAAUGGUAGAAAAACUGCAUCUGUUCCAAGAAUCUGGAUUUUCUUGUCCUUCCUAAGGUGAGGAAGCUUUUUGCCUGUAACAAAAAGACACUUAUAAACACGUCUUGACUGAAGGAGUUAUCAUCCAGCAGCAUAACCACAUUUUUAGCUGACCUGCUCAGGGUUAAAUACUGGCACAGAGACACAUAAGCCAGUUUCCCAUGGCCAGUUGCAGGAUCACAUACAAAAAACUUUGACAGCAACAAGGAGCCCACAGAGCUACACAGCAGCACUUGCAAUGCUGGGCUCUGGACUUCUGUAGUGUAGUUGUCACUGGCCUCUGGCUGAGGUGAUGAGCAGCUUGGCUAUGCUUAUGCUAAACCAGAGCAGUCUAUGGCUCCUGCCUGUUCUUCUCAACUUCAGUUUUCUAAUUUAAAGAAAACUGAAACAAUAUGAAGAGGUGUUUCCUUUCUGUCAUUUCUGAAGAACUGCGAUAAAGACAGCUUCAAAAUAGUCUGACCUGCUCUCCAAAAGAACCUGGAGAACAAACGAGGAAGCCCAACGGCUCUAUCAGGAGUUUUAACAAAGCGAGUCAAAAAUACUUCUGAGAUAUUUCCCAUCAGUGCCUGUUUUAUGUUCUUUGAAGUGGCUGCUGGAGAACAGCACAAGAUUUGCACAGACAAAUGGAUGAAGAACAUUAUCCAUUCGAUAAUUACUCAUAUGGAUAUAAUUAUAAUGAAAGCAAUGUCUGUGAAAUGGGUAACUAUUUUGUAUUUUACACCCAUCUCACUACUGUCCUUUACACUCUGGGAUUUUUGCUCAGCCUGCUAGGAAACACUCUAGUGUUAUGGAUCCUAUUUAAAUAUGAAAACCUUACAUCUUUAACGAACAUCUGCAUCAUGAAUCUCUGUGUCUCUGAUUUAGUCUUCUCCUGCAUGCUGCCUUUCUGGGCAGUGGACCAGUCCUUUGGGUGGAUUUUUGGUGAGUUCCUUUGCAAAGCGGUGAACGCUGUUUUCUCCAUUGGCUACUACAGCGGAGUUUUCUUUUUGACUCUCAUGACUAUCCUGCGGUAUUUGUCUGUAGCGAACCCCCUUUCAACUCUGAGAUCCCAGACACAGUGCUGUGGUCUUCUGGUGAGUUUGGUUGUUUGGACUUGCAGCGUAUUAAUUGUGGUUCCUGAGAUGAUUCACACCACAGUGCAAGAACGCUUGGAAGGGGACAAGACCUGUGAUUAUGCUGACGAGAACUGGAAAAAGGUGGACAUUUAUCAGAGAAAUGUACUCUUCCUGCUUUCCUUUGGGGUUAUUGUAUUCUGUUAUUUCAAGAUACUGAUAAUCCUGCUUGGAGCAAGACCUCGCAGAAAGCACAGAACUGUGAAACUAAUCCUAAUUAUUGUGGUGGCUUUUUUCCUGAGCUGGGCACCUUACAACAUCCUCAGCUUUCUGAUUACUUUUCCACCACCUACCUGUCAGUACCAAAGAGACUCCAACCUUGCCUUUCAUAUCAGCCGUAAAAUCGCUUUCUCUCACUGCUGCCUCAACCCCGUGCUCUACGUAUUUGUCGGCAUCAAGUUCAAGAGGCAUUUGUUACGUUUAUGCAGUCAGUAUUUACCCUGUGGUAAUGGUCAAGUCUCCAGCCCCAGGAUCUGCUCUGAAGGCAAAUUCCACUAUGAAGGUGCGUCUAUCUACUGAAGCAAGACCUACAUGUUAGCACUAAUCCUGGAUGAACUUUCAGAUUUUAAAAGCCACGGACAAUCUCUAAUUCUUAGAGGCACUGCUCUGAGAAAUACACAAAUUUACGCUUGGCAAUCUUGCUGUGUAUGGAAAGUGAUAAAAAAAUGUAUUUGCAGUGGGAUGGAGAGCUGAGAAUGCUGAGAAAUUAAUUCAUUGGCCUGAACCCAGAGCAGCAGCUUUUAGCCUAUAUACUUGAAUGCUUUCUGCUUUACAACUCUAAAAAACCCUGCUUCGCAGAGAUGAUAAUUAGGUUUUAAAUAGAGAUAUAAACAAAGCCAGCCAUUUGUUUGUUUUUGUCGUGUUUCACAUCUGUCUAAUUAUCAGAUAUGCUUAUUUCUCUAAGGUGUGUGAGUGUCUGGUCUAUCUAACCAGCUGCCUGGCCACAUGCAAGUCUUUCAUUUCAUGCAUGCAUUUCAUCUCUGCGGCCGGGGGGAAGUGAAGUGCAAAUAGUUGCAUGAACCUAGCUUUGGAAAUAAGAGGGCAAGUUGUGUUAAGUGCAGGAGUGUCUUUACAUGACUGUUAAAAUAUGAUUUCCCAACUACAAGCAAGUUAAAAGAAUUCAGUUCAACUGCACACAUUUUUGCAUAUACAUUCUGAUUACACAAAUCAAGCCUUGUGGUAAUUUUCUCAUGGAAGAUGAUAUCCUUCUUCAUGAUAGAUCAGUGGGGGUUUAUUCCCCUCAGACAGUGCAACACAUAGUCCAUACUCUGGUGUGGCUGAAAGACAAAGCCUCUGGAAAUCAGAAUAUUUCAUUUCCUAGCAUUUGUAUAGAAAGCCUAGGUGGUUUUGCAGUGGCACCUAGAAAUGGUUUGGCAAUGGUUCUAAGCAACUGUUCAGCUUUUUGGACAGCCAUCUUAAAAUGUCUCUGUGUUGUUUCCACACUAUUCCAUUCAAUCUCUAAAGAUGACCUACAGCACACAACAGAUUCUUCUCAGCUGCUGUGUAAUUUAUAAAAAAGCAGAAACUCCGACAAGCCUAUAAUACAAUAUCCUACUUCUGGAGCAAGAAUAGCUAGGGAAAAGCAUAAGAAUGGGGCAAACAUAAAUGACACAUAUCCAAACAGUCGUCCUUGGGCUUGCCCAUAGUCUCUAGUUUGUGCUUCAGCUUAGCUGCCAGAAGAAAGUGAUUAUAUCUUGUCCUUUAUCAUCAGAUGCACCUUUCUGAACAAGCCAGUCCUGGCAUCCCAUUACAACAGUUAUUGCCCAAACCUUAAAAAAUAAAAAGGUUACUCAUUAAUCCCACAGGGGAACUCAACUCUAUUCAGACAAACCAUGGAAAGACAGAAGUUGUCAUUUGCCUGGUUGUGGUGGAGACCAUCUUUUGGUUCUUGUUUCCUGAUAAAAGACAUUUGAAAUGAAUGUGUUUGCUUCUAUGCGCUUCAAGAGACUUUGGACUGGGGACUCAAUGCUUCCAAUUAUGAAUAUACAACCUACUGAAGGAGAAAUGAGUCCAGAUUCUUCUUCUGUUCUGGUAAACCAGGACCACUUCACCAGCAUCAGCAAAGACCUACAAGAGGGAAAUUCUGUGAUGACAAGUAAAAGAAGGUCUCAUGCAACUCACUGCCCUAGAGCUUACAAUACCCUGAAAUCUUUACUUCCAGUAGAUUUUACAUUUAUCUAAAAAAAGCUAAGAAGUAUAACAGAAGCAUGAAAGAUUUAAAUUAUCCUGUUCUGCCUAGUUUUUAACAAGUUAUUUAAAUCUGCUUGUAGCUUGAACAUUUUUUUUUACUGUAUAUUUGAGCACGUAAAGCAAAUGCUUAAGAUUACAUAAUUGUACUGCCACCUACCAUAACCAAAGUAAUUCAGCAUGCGGAGAUUUCCCCUCCUGAUAUAAUAAAGUGUUACUAAUAAGCAUGAGAAAUUCAAUGGAAUAUUACACUCUGAGUACUGUUUUUCACAUUCAAUAACCACCUACUAAUGUUGAGGUAUUUUUAAUUGAAGAAGUAAAUGUGAAUUUUCAUACAUUAAUUUAGCUUGGAAGAGACUCUGGAGGUCAUCCACUCCUCCAUGUUGCUCACAGCAGCUGUGUCUUCUGAGUUCGCCAAGGUUGCUCAGGGCCUUGUCUAGUCAAACUCUGAAAAUCUCCAAGAACAAGGACUGCAUAACUCUUCUGUUGUCCCUGUUCCAAUUCUUAACAACUCCCAUGGUGCAUUUUUUUUCCUUCUACACAAACUAAAUAUCUUUUGCUGCAACUUCAGGAUGUUUUCUCUUCCUUACCUUCUCUAUGUCUUUGUACUUGUCAUUAUUGAACUUCCAGGACUCCCACCGGCUCAUUCUUCAAGCUUGCUUAUAUCUCCUUGCAUGGCAGCCCUAAAACUCAUUGCACAUCAGUUGCUCCCUCUUAUGUGGUGUCAUCCAUGAACUUGCUGAAGGCCUGCACUCUGUCCCAUCAUCCAAGUUAUAAAUGAAAAUGUUAAACAGUAUCAGCCUCAGUAUUGACCAUCAAAGCAUGCCACUCAUAACAAGCCCCUCAUUAAGAUUUCAAACCAUUGGCCAGUACCCUUUCAGUCUGAUUGUCCAGUCAGUUUUUCAUCCACUUCAUUGUCAAGAGGAAAUAUGUUAGUGUACCUUCCAUCUUUGUUUAUACACUUUAUUAAGGCUGAAGCCACAGAAUGUGCUCCGUGCAGGUCUGAGGAUGGGCAGCCCGUGCAUCUCUUUGCUUCUGGGAGCUCCAGAUCUUGGCAAAUAUAUAUUGCACUGCAUAAAACAUAAUGCUCAAGGGAUACCGAAUCUUUAAUUUCACUCAAUCAAUCAACUACUAUGUGGUCUGAGCAAAUGCAGAACUGAGAGAAAGAAGUUCAUGAAGUGAAAAAGAAAUCAAUUGCUUUUGGAAACCACAGCCUAUUUGGGGGAGGGCAGCGGUGUCAGACUGCGUGGUCGCAGAACCACUACUGUUGUACACUGCCAAGAAUGCCUUCACACAGGAUGGCAGGUCUAAAUUCAAAUGGAAGUUACAGUUAAGUGGACAUGCUCUUGCUGCUCUAAGUCCAUAUUAAGUUCCACCAAAUGCGAACAUGGGAACAGUGGCUUCUCCCACGAGCAAUGUAGCUGGAUUGGGCCCCUCUCCCUACCUACCUUUUCAGCGGGUCAACUCAAAACUGAGCAUCACUGCCACAGGCUGUCAGAGCUCCCACCUUCUCUGCAGCCCUGGGAGCCUGUAUCAGGCAAUGACACUUCAAUAGAGAAGAUUCUCACUGAUAAGAAGGCAUGUAACCAAAUUAAUUCUUUCCACUAAUAUUGUAAACUGUCUUAAAUAACAUAAGCAAACAUUUAAGAAAGCAUCCUAUUCCCACUAAAAUCAAUGAUACUUUUGCUUCUGAUCAUAAUCAGAGCAAGCAGCAGUCUCAUAAAUGAGUGCAAUGCACUGGGAAAGCACAGCAUGCAUUGCUUAUUGCCAGAAGCAUUUUCAUCAUGAGUCAGGAUACCUAUAUCAGGAUAUUUAUAACUCAAUAUUUUGAAAACGCCGCUAGUGUGAUUAAAAUCAUAAAUGAAAAUCUAUUUUAUAUCCUCUUUAUGGUUACUCAUCAGUUUAAAACGCUCUUGCUCAUCCAGUGUUUAAAUAGGAAGGCCUGGUGUUAAGUGGAAAGAAGUUCAUCUGACAUUGUCUUGUACUGAUGAGAUGCCUACAUGAGCUUCAGGAAACAAUAAUAAACCAAGCACACAAAUAAGAAAAGAAAAUGACGUGACGGUUAGCUGUCGGUCAAAAUGAGAACAAACAGUAAGAAGUACAAGUAAAGAUGACCUAUAAAGACCAGUUGCAUACCAUCAGAAAGGAGGAAUAAACACAACAAUGCUUCACUUGCCAGCACAGAGCUGCUCUUGAGAUGAACUCACUUGCUCCAAAGCAUGCUCAAAGUUGAAAGUGAGCCACAAGAUUUUUAGUCACUUAAGACACCCUAUUCACAUUUAAAAUACGGUGAACACUGAAGCUGUCUCACAGCAAACACCCAUUUGAAGAGAUUGCUUCCAGCAGUCUUUCUCUGCAUCUCACCUCCUUCAUGUAAGAAUGUCACAGCGGUGAAAGCUUAGAGAACCCAGUAAGGCUGGCCUUGCACAAAACAAUUUGUGGUUUGCAAAUACAAUGAUUAUUUCACUUUAUUCGCAAAGCCUUUUGUCUAGGAUGAAGUAACCAUACAGCUUGGGGGGUGCAACUAACCGGGAAGGAGCUCUGCAGAAAAGGAUCUAAGGGUCUUUGAACAUAAGCCAGCAAGUACACUCAAAUGAGGCCAACUACAUCCUGGGCUGUAUUAACAAGAGUGUAGCCAGCACG